Molecule: ribosomal RNA, 484 nt
Filed under: uncultured bacterium
Lineage: Bacteria
Description: partial 16S ribosomal RNA
Rfam family: Bacterial small subunit ribosomal RNA
Source: RNAcentral
AUUGAACGCUGGCGGCAGGCCUAACACAUGCAAGUCGAGCGGAUGAAGGGAGCUUGCUCCUGGAUUCAGCGGCGGACGGGUGAGUAAUGCCUAGGAAUCUGCCUGGUAGUGGGGGAUAACGUCCGGAAACGGGCGCUAAUACCGCAUACUCCCGGGGGGGGAAAGGGGGGGAUCUUCGGACCUCAGGCUAUCAGAUGAGCCUAGGUCGGAUUAGCUAGUUGGUGGGGUAAAGGCCUACCAAGGCGACGAUCCGUAACUGGUCUGAGAGGAUGAUCAGUCACACUGGAACUGAGACACGGUCCAGACUCCUACGGGAGGCAGCAGUGGGGAAUAUUGGACAAUGGGCGAAAGCCUGAUCCAGCCAUGCCGCGUGUGUGAAGAAGGUCUUCGGAUUGUAAAGCACUUUAAGUUGGGAGGAAGGGCAGUAAGUUAAAACCUUGCUGUUUUGACGUUACCAACAGAAUAAGCACCGGCUAACUUCGUG